UACGUAGGGUGCAAGCGUUGUCCGGAAUUAUUGGGCGUAAAGCGCUCGUAGGCGGUUUGUCACGUCGGAUGUGAAAACCCGAGGCUUAACCUCGGGCCUGCAUUCGAUACGGGCUGACUAGAGUUCGGUAGGGGAGACUGGAAUUCCUGGUGUAGCGGUGAAAUGCGCAGAUAUCAGGAGGAACACCGGUGGCGAAGGCGGGUCUCUGGGCCGAUACUGACGCUGAGGAGCGAAAGCGUGGGGAGCGAACAGG
Molecule: ribosomal RNA, 253 nt
Filed under: uncultured bacterium
Lineage: Bacteria
Description: partial 16S ribosomal RNA
Rfam family: Bacterial small subunit ribosomal RNA
Source: RNAcentral